AUGCAUCUCUGACAGACCUAGAGCAGUUAAUGGCUGCUGCUAAGGUUUCCACUACAGAUGCAAGAAAAAGAAGGUUCUAGUGCUUUCUGUCUGUUUAGCAGUGACAGAUAAGAUUGAAUGUGGGAAUACUGGA
This 133-nucleotide small nucleolar RNA is filed under the name Dasypus novemcinctus (nine-banded armadillo). RNAcentral describes it as "Small nucleolar RNA SNORA31 (ENSDNOG00000046361.1)". It matches the Rfam family "Small nucleolar RNA SNORA31". From Rfam's summary of the family: ACA31 (SNORA31) belongs to the H/ACA class of snoRNAs which are thought to guide the sites of modification of uridines to pseudouridines. Lineage: Eukaryota; Metazoa; Chordata; Mammalia; Cingulata; Dasypodidae. The record is from RNAcentral.